CUUUUUGUAUAUCAAAGUUAACUGAAAAUCUAUGUUCGCAGUUUAGCUUACAACGUUUUGGGGCAAAAUCUUGCUAAAAGAGAGCGAUUAGUCU
RNAcentral lists this small RNA (94 nucleotides) under Vibrio cholerae O1 biovar El Tor str. N16961. Lineage: Bacteria; Pseudomonadati; Pseudomonadota; Gammaproteobacteria; Vibrionales; Vibrionaceae. The record is from RNAcentral.